AUGAAGCUGGAUUCGCUAGUAAUCGCGCAUCAGCCACGGCGCGGUGAAUACGUUCCCGGGCCUUGUACACACCGCCCGUCAAGCCAUGGAAGCCGGGAGUGCCUGAAGUGCGUGACCGCAAGGAGCGCCCUAAGGCAAUACCGGUGACUGGGGCUAAGUCGUAACAAGGUAGC
This 173-nucleotide ribosomal RNA is filed under the name uncultured bacterium. RNAcentral describes it as "partial 16S ribosomal RNA". It matches the Rfam family "Bacterial small subunit ribosomal RNA", at positions 1320 to 1500 of the family's 1533-position model. The record is from RNAcentral.